UGUAAAGCGAUGAAAAAGAAUAGUACAUAGUUCCUUCAUUUUUAGAGAGUUUGUGGUCGGUGUAAACAAACAAUGAAGCCUAUGGAAUGGACUUUGGAGCUUUCAAGUGCAAAGCUUGAACGCUAAUUGGCGUUAUGUAAAUGAAGAUGAUUACUUUGUAAUCUAAUUAGGGUGGUACCACGGUUUAUGCGUCCCUAGC
Molecule: non-coding RNA, 199 nt
Filed under: Bacillus sp. (in: firmicutes)
Lineage: Bacteria; Bacillati; Bacillota; Bacilli; Caryophanales; Bacillaceae
Description: Bacillus sp. T-box sequence
Rfam family: T-box leader
About the family: Uncharged tRNA acts as the effector for transcription antitermination of genes in the T-box leader family.
Source: RNAcentral